This 164-nucleotide ribosomal RNA is filed under the name Eriachne aristidea. RNAcentral's name for it is "5.8S ribosomal RNA". It matches the Rfam family "5.8S ribosomal RNA". From Rfam's summary of the family: 5.8S ribosomal RNA (5.8S rRNA) is a component of the large subunit of the eukaryotic ribosome. It is transcribed by RNA polymerase I as part of the 45S precursor that also contains 18S and 28S rRNA. RNAcentral also lists the same sequence under 1 other name. Lineage: Eukaryota; Viridiplantae; Streptophyta; Magnoliopsida; Poales; Poaceae. The record is from RNAcentral.
CACACGACUCUCGGCAACGGAUAUCUCGGCUCUCGCAUCGAUGAAGAACGUAGCAAAAUGCGAUACCUGGUGUGAAUUGCAGAAUCCCGUGAACCAUCGAGUCUUUGAACGCAAGUUGCGCCCGAGGCCUUCUGGCCGAGGGCACGCCUGCCUGGGCGUCACGC